GAAUGUUCUAGAAAGAAUUUUCAUCACAGAACUUUCUGCCUUAAAUGCAUUUGUUGAAGGUUUAAAGUUCUUUAUCAUCAGGUAAGGGAUAUUGCAUCCCCUCACCCCGCUGGUGUAGUGUCAUGCGCGGCGCCCGAAGCUAGUUCUAGUGUCGAGUCGCGGCUCUGGUCCAGUGCGCCGCCCGCCGUCUGCCGCGCAUGACGGACUGCUGCUCACAGCCGCCGCCGGCCCCGAGGGCUCUGCAGCCCUACUGGACCGCAUCCCCUUGGGUUCAAAUCUCAGACCUUUGGCGUCCGAGUGACGUCACAUGCCCGCUGUCUCCGAGCGCUGCAGCCUGUCAGGGCUGUGGCGCCGGCCGUCCUAACAUCUGUGACGGAGAUUCCCGGACGAGACCCACCUCCUCGUCACCGAUGGCGGCUGACGCAGCAGUCAGUUCCAGCUGACCAUCCAAGCUGACCUCCUUAAGAGUGGAUGUCAAUGUACAGCCGACUCCCGAGUGUGUCGGUUUGACGAUGACAUCCAGUUUUACCACGGCAAUGAGCUGAUGAGGGCAGGCGCGAAUCCAACGGAGGGGGUCAGGGGAUGAGGACCAAUUCUAUAACUAUUGGUCUGUCCAAUCCUUGUCCUUUGACCUCCUCGGUUCAGUUUGGAUCCGUGCCUGGUCGAUCAGUACUUGUGUCUGUAAUAGCAUCGUUUUAAUGAUGUGUUUACAGAGCACCUUGUAAAUAGUUAGGUUAAUGUUAGGCUAAGUUAGGAUAAGAAUCUUAUGACUAACAAAUACACACAGUAACUUAAGUCUAAGCAUUAUUAUAUUCAACAUUGCGCAUCGCAAAUGAGUGUAAUAAUACGUGUAAAUAGGAAAACU
Long non-coding RNA from Trichoplusia ni (cabbage looper), 865 nucleotides. RefSeq lists it as uncharacterized. NCBI's taxonomy places the organism in Eukaryota, Metazoa, Arthropoda, Insecta, Lepidoptera, Noctuidae. The transcript has 3 exons. The record is from RefSeq and is a predicted model, not a curated record.